This 71-nucleotide transfer RNA is filed under the name Geomicrobium sp. JCM 19039. It matches the Rfam family "tRNA". From Rfam's summary of the family: Transfer RNA (tRNA) molecules are approximately 80 nucleotides in length. Lineage: Bacteria; Bacillati; Bacillota; Bacilli; Caryophanales. RNAcentral also lists the same sequence under 1 other name. The record is from Rfam by way of RNAcentral.
GCGCCUAUGGUGAAAGGGAUAUCACGCGAGAUUCCGGUUCUCGUAUUCCAGGUUCGAAUCCUGUAGGCGCG